CUCCUUUUAGAAUGGCCAAAAUCCACAAUACUGACACCACCAACUGCUGGUGAGGAUGUUGGAACAAUAGGAACAAUCAUUCAUUGCUAGUGGGAAUGCAGACUAGAACAGACACUUUGGAAGACGAUUUGGAAGUUUGUUUUUACAAAUUUAGACUUACUCCUACCAUAUAACUCAGCAAUCAUGCUCCUUAGUAUUUACCCAAGUGAGCUGAAAACUAUGUCCACGUAAAAACUUGCAUAUGAAUAUUUAUAGCAACUUUAUUCAUAAUUGCCAAUACACAGCAAUAUGUCCUUCAGUAGGUUAAUGGAUAAAUAUACUGUGAUACAUCUAGAUAAUGGAAUAGUAUUCAGUGCUAAAAAGAAAUGAGCUAUCAAGCCAUGAAAAGACUACAGGGGUCCUGGAUAGCAAAGUCCAUGGGUGUCUAUGGUGGUGGCUGUGGCUGUUGGGUCUUUAGUGGCAAAAGCUGCUGGGGUGCUCCUGCUCUCUUUUUCUCCCACCCCCUCUUUGGGAGAUGAGGUGAUGCAGGUAAAAUGCUUCCUACAGUUUUCUCUGCAGCUGUCCUCAGUUGUGCUCCACUGGGUUCUGCAGCUUCUUAAUCACACUCUGGAGCUCUCUUAGAGCUAUUUUCAUUUAUGAGUAGUUGUUAAAAUGUUGUUUCUAUGAGGGAUGAGGGUUGGGACCUCCUAAUUUGACAUCACUGCCAAGAGAAACCACUCCUAUUCCUUUUAUUACAGGAGGUACCAGUCAGCAGUAGAAAAAGAAAAUAUCUAAAAGGGAUAUGGAUUGUGGAAAGGAAGGUACAAAACUAUUAUUAUUUGCAGAUAUUGUGAUUGUCUAUAUAGAAAGUACCCCACCCAAAUUACAUAUCAAUUACAAAUAACUAUUUUAAUUGUUAAGAACUAGCAAGUUUGCUUGGCACCAAACCAGUUUGGAAAAAUGAAUUCUGUGUCUCUGCAAUAUCAAUUGGAAGUUAGGAAAUGAAAUGUUAACAAUAAAAAUAACAAUUAAAAUAGUAAUAAAAAUAUAAGGUACCUGGGGAAAAAUCUCUCAAAAGAUAUGUAAGCCUUUUAUGUAGAAAUUAAUAAAACUUAAAUUAGUGGAGGAAGAGAACACGUUCUUGAAUAAGAAAACUCAAAGUAAUAAAAAUUCAUAGAUUUUAAUACUAUUCCAAUAAAAGGAAUUCCCAACAGGGCUUUUCAAGGACCUUGACAAACUAAUUCUAAAAUUUACAUGAAAGAGUAAAGACUCUAAAACAAUCAGUACUGAAGAACUUGCUUUACCAAGUAUCAAAUCUAAUCAUAAAGGUUUGAGGCAGUAUGCAGUUAAUGCAGGAAUAUAGUAAUAGGCCAGUGUAACAAAAUAUAGUGUGCCCCCAAACAGAAAUAUCCAAAUAUGACAGAGAUAUUAUUACAUAACAGAGGUAAAGAGUGGACUCUUCAAUUAUAUAACUGUACUGGGGGGAAAAUGAAAGUAUUGAAGUAUUACUUACAUGUCACUGUACAGGAAAAUCAAUUUCAGUUGGUUAAAUACUAAAAUGUGAAAGGGAAGACUAGAAAUAUUUUAGAAAAACAUGUCAAAAAAUGUCUUUAUGAUCCCAGGAUUUCUUAAUUUAAAAAGUCAUAGUCAUAAAAGAAACUGUGGUGGGAGUUCCUAUUGUGGUGCAGUGGAAAGGAAUCCAACUAGUAUCCAUGAGGAUGUGGGUUUGCUCACUAGGUUAAAGGACCUUGCGUAGCCGUGAGCUGUGGUGUAGGUUGCAGACGUGGCUCAGAUCCCGAGUUGCUNUGUGGCAUAGACUGGCAGCUGUACUUCCAAUUUGAUCCCUAGCCUCGGAAUUUCUAUAUGCUGUGGGUGCGGUCCUAAAAAGCAGGAAAAAAACAAAAACAAAAACAAACAAAAAAAACAGUUGUUAAAUUGGACUGUCUUAAAAUUAAGAAUUCACAAAUCAUCAAAAGACACCAUAAAGUGAAAAUCAUCUCACAAAGUGAGAGAAAAUAUUUCCAAUGCAUAUAACCAGUGAAAUAUUAGUAUCCAGAGUGUAUAAGGACCCUCCUACAAAUUGAUAAAAGACUUCUUAAUAGAAAUAAAAGCAAAAGCAUGAAUGGACAUCUCACAGAAGAUAAACAAUACACUAAAAAUGAAAUUUUAAAACCACAGUCUCAUCAAGGAAAUGCAAAUUAAAACCACAAUAUGAUUUUGCAUCCACUAGAUAGGAAAAAAUGAAAAAGUCUAUGAAGAAUAAUUUUGGAAAAGAUAUGUAACAAUAAGCAUCCACAUCUGUUGGAAGGAGAAAUAUAAGUUGGCUCAGUAACUUUGGCCAAGAGUUUGGCAUUUCUUAACCAAGCUGCACAUGCACAUAAUAUGUAACCAGGAAUUACAUUCCAAGAUGUGUACCCCAGAGAAAUUUUUGCAUUCAUGCUCAAGAGUAAUUUUUAAGAAUGCUCACAGAAGCAUUAUUCAUAAACAAAAAAUGUCCAAACUAUCCAAAUAUUCAUCAACAGUAGAGUUGGCUAAUUUUAAUAUAUUCUUAAGAUGAAUACAAUAAUAAAAAGUUAUUUAGAGCCAGCUGAGUUAAUGUGGAUAAAUCUCAAAAACUAUUAUUUUUUUGAGCAACAGAAGCACAUUAUAGAAUGCAUACAUUAUGAUUCUCUUUAUAAAAAUUUCAAAAAUCAGGCAACUCAUAGCAACAUUUUCUUUGGGGAUAUAUACCUUGGUUACAAACUGUAAGGCAGAGAUCAACAGUUUUAGGAUUAAGGUUACCCUUUGAAGGUGGAAGAGGGAGAAAAUACUACUGGGGAGGGAUAUCAGAAGACCUGUUUAUUUCCUAAACUGGUUAGUGGCAGAUCUUAUUUAUUUUAUUAUUUUUUUAAAAAAAACCUUAAAUUUGUAGGUUUCAUACAUUCUUUUUAAAAAUAAUUUAUGUCACCAUAAAAAAGUUGAAAACAAAAAACCUCAUGUACUUCACCUCCCUCAAGAUUCUGAUAAAAUUUCAACCCUUGAGAGAUGAGCUUCAAUUUGCAAAUCUCUUUGCCUUGCCAAUAGUAGUUUUGAUUAUAUUUUAUUUUCCUUAGCUUAAGAAAAUAAUGGAUAUUUUUUUCUUAAAAUGUAAAAUUAUAGGUAAUAUUAUAUUGAAUAUAUAUUUAAAUUAUAUAUACCUAUCCCUCUCUGUUUAGAUUUUGAUUACUUCUCCAUCCAUCAGCUAUCACUCACCCACCUCCACCUUCAACCUUUGGGAAGUACCAAAUGGUAGCCACAUUUGAAGCCAGGAAUUAAUCAUGGGAAGAAAGUUUUACAAAUAUUAAUUUUCUGAUCUAACAAACCCGUCUGUAUCUCCUUACCCUGUAAACAUUCUAUUUGGCAGUAAUGCUAAGAUAUUUUUCUCCUCUUUCAUUUUCUAAUUAACUUGCAAUGUGUUUUCCCUAAAUUCACAAUGAGUUUGGAAUAAAAGUAAUUUGCUUCACCAGGUGGUAUUUCUCACAUUCCAGAUGUUAAUAUAGGUCUUAACCCAUGGUCAGCUUUAAGGGUAACAACAGCACAGUAGUAUUUAUGGCAUCUACCAAAUGAGUUACAGAAUAUAGUUGUUAAAGUAUUAUUAUAGAUAGAGUGACCACGUAAUUAAUUAGCCAGACACUUUUGGGAAUGAAAGGGGGCACUAUUAAUAAUUAUUCUGGGACACAGGAAUAAAUGGGAACAGUUCUAGGCAAAAGGAGAUAUGCGGUCAUCCUGGUUAUAGAAGAAUCUAGCUCAACAAGGACCCAACUGAAGACACAUCUGGCAUGGUGUAAGUUUUCUUUCAACUGUUAAAACCUUGUAAACAGAAAUGGUCUUGUUUUAAUGUGGUUUAUCGUAGUUGUAGUCCUUAACCAGCACUCCUGACAGAUGUGUUUACUAGACCUCAUUGACACCAACAAUUGGGGUGCCUGCUUACUGAGAGGAGGUUUUACUAGCAAUCCAUGCAAAGUAAGUGUCCAACUAACUAGUCUAUGAGGGAAAAAUGACUUUGUAUUUUUUGUCAUUUUUAAAAGUUUGAUUAUCAUCUGAAGCAGCACAAAAUAUAGUAGCAGGGGUCCUCUUCUAUGUGGGCUUAAAAUCUAGACAGAUGGUUUAGGUGUAAGACAAGAAGAAUGAAAAUUCUUUCUGGAGUUGAGAAAGGUUUAUAAAUAAUAAUAAAGUAAUGAGAAUGAGCCUCUAUAGAGUUCCACUGCUGUGCUAGGCACUGAAUUGUAUUCACACUAUAGCACUUAAUCUUCUUAAGAGCCAUAUUAAGAAGUGAUUAUUUCUAUUAUCCAAAUGAGGAAACUUUUAAGGAUUCACACAGGAUUACAUAAGUGGCAGAAUUAACGGUAGAAAUUCAGGUCUAUCUGACUCUAAAGCCUGUGUUUUAUCUAUAAUGCCUAGUGACUUUCUGGAUUUUUUUUCAUUUUAUUAUUUACAUUGGCACUGUACCACUACUGAUACAGAGGUCAGGCUCCAUUUUUACAUUCAUAAGGUGGCUCCUCAGUUUCCACUACACAACUACUAUUGGAAUUUCUAAAUUGAUUUUAGAAAGCAUCUUCCUAUGAUUUGGGAUGGUGUUUAUAUCUGUUAUCAAUGGCCCCUAAUAAGUCAAGUGAGGAGAGAAAGGGAAGAUAUUUUUUUAAAAAAUAGACCUUUUAGAGAAAAAUGCAAUGUAUGGACUAGAAAUACAAUGGUAGGCUUAAUUGAAAAUUGACACUGCAAAAGAAAAGAUUAAUGAACUUGAAGAUCUAGCAAUAGAUACUCUUCAAACCAAAGCUCAGAGAGAAAGAAGUCUGAAAAUUAAAUAAAGAGAGCCUUCAUGACCUGUGUGAAAAUGUCAGGGGCUUAAAAUACAUGUAUAAUUUGAGCCCCUUAAAGAAGUUGUUGGUUGGAGGGUGGGGAGUGAGAAAAAAAUUUUGAAGAAACAGGGGGUUCCCGUCGUGGCUCAAUGGUUAACGAAUCCAACUAGGAACCAUGAGGUUGUGGGUUUGGUCCCUGCCCUUGUUCAGUGGGUUAAGGAUCCGGCAUUGUGUGAGCUGUGGUGUAGGUUGCAGAUGCAGCUUGGAUUCCGCGUUGCUGUGGCUCUGGCAUAGGCCAGUGGCUAUAGCUCCAAUUAGACCCCUAGCCUGGGAACCUCCAUAUGCUGCAGGAGCAGCCCAAGAAAUGGCAAAAAGACAAAAAAAAAAAUUUUUUUUGAAGAAACAAUUUUGAUGAAAACUGUAAGCUUAAAUAUAAGUUUACAAAUAUAGGAAGCCCGAUGAAUAUCAAGAAGAAUAUAUAGAAGAUCAUACCAAGUCAACCAAUUUGCUGAAAACCAGUGAUAAAGAGGAAAUCUUAAAAGCAGCCAGUGAAAAAGACAUUUCAUAUGUAGAAACAAAGAUAAGAGAAUAGAUGACUUCUCACUAGAAGCAAUAUAAGCCAGAAGACAACUGAAUAUCACCUUUAAUGUGUUGAAAGAAAAAACGUAUCAACUGAGAUUCUAUAUAUAGUGAAAGUAUCCCUCAAAAACAAAAUUAAGAUAAAAACAUUUUCAGACCAACAAACUUAGAGAGUUCAAACAGCAGACUAGCAUUACAAUAAAUAUUUUAAAAAGUUCUUUAGGCUGAAGGAAAAUGAUUCCAGAUAAAAAAUCAGAUCUACACAAUGGAAUAAAGAGUGCCAGAAAUAGUAAACAUGCACAUAAAUAUAUAAAACUUUUUCUUCAUUUUUUCGUAUAAAAUAAAAUUGGAUGUUUUUGGCAAAAAAUAAUAACAUAUUUUGUUAUUUAUUACAUAUGCAGAAAUAAAGUAUACAAUAUAUGCCAAGAAUAGAAAGAGAAUUGAAGGUGUACUGUUGAAAACUUCUUACAGUAAUCACAAAGUGAUAUAUUUGAAGGUAGGCUGUGAUAUGUUUAAGAUCUACACUAUAACCCCAAAGCAAGCAUUGAAAAAAAAUAGAUAUUGAAGGCAACAUGGGACAUAGAAUACUAAGCAGUACUCAACCAAGCC
This 5984-nucleotide long non-coding RNA is filed under the name Sus scrofa (pig). RNAcentral's name for it is "lncRNA (ENSSSCG00015022402.1)". Lineage: Eukaryota; Metazoa; Chordata; Mammalia; Artiodactyla; Suidae. The record is from RNAcentral.